GUCACAUGGUGGCUCCGAGAGAGAUUCUCGCAUAAAAUAGAGGUAGCCAUUACGGUAGCCAUUACUCCAAUCGGUCCAAAGAGAAAAAGGAAUUGUCCCGAUGGAUAUAUUAACGAUUAGAUAUUAGAAAAACACCUUGAGGAUGGAUUCUAAACAACGUUUGCCAUGUUUCUGUCGAUAUUAUGGAGCUAAUUUGGAAUAUUUUUCGGAGUUGUGGUGACCGCAAUUUCCGGGCGAUUGCUCAGCCAAAUGUGAACAAACGGAGCUAUUUCGCCUACAAAAAUAAUCUUUUGGGAAAAAAAUUAACUUUGGCUGUCUACCUGGGAGUCUCGUGAGUGAAAACAUCCGAAGUUCAUCAAAGGUUAUGAAACUCUAUCGUCUGAGGCUGCAGCAAUAUCCCUUGACUGUACCUGAAACGAGACAAGAUCACCGGUGAAGUGCAACCGGCGGAACGGAAGAAGAAUUCCUCAAUACCGUCAGACUGUCAGAAUAGUUACCUAUGUGGGACUGAUACCAGUGUGGAAGAGCUGGUCACCUUUAAAGGACUUGGUGAAUGAUUACAUUGACAAUAGGAAGAUUGAAUAUUAUUGUCUUGCAGACAAGUGAAACAUGUUUGAAAUUAUUCUCCUUGUGAAUUUCCUCCUAAUACAGGAUGUGGAUUGUGUUUCCAUUUCUAACACAGAGAAGGAUGAGGGACACUCGGGCGUCAAUACAUUUCUGGUGCUUUCUUUACACUAUGCCACGGUAGUCAAAGUAGUUGUGGGGUUUGUACGCAUGCGGAAUAUCCCAUGUCUGUUGAAUUGACUCUCAGUAAUAACACUAUGACUACUUUUUAUGCCAAUAACCUUCAGUAAUAUCAUCAAUAAUGCUACGAUAGGUCCUAAUGGGACUUACUUUAUCUGUGGAUCCUAUGCCUAUUCCUGGUUACCAAAGUUGUGACGAGGGUCGUGUUAUUUGGGAUAUGUUGUACCCCAAGUAAGAUAUUCUGUGAAUUCACCUUUUUCACACCGUGAUAAACAUGUGAUUACAGAAACAGAGAUUCUUUGCGAUUGCUUUUCCUUCUUAUGGUAUUUCUAAAAUAACACGGGAAGUUAUUAAUAUGGCUAACUCUUUGGAUAUCCUAGCUAAUAGUACAACUGAGAGUCUUGAGUUAAUUACAGCUGAGAUGGUUGCCAUUCGGACUGUGGCAAUGGAAAAUUGUUUGGCCCUUGACUAUCUUCUCUCCGCAAGAGGGGUUACAUGUGCUGUCAUUGGUGCUGAAUGCUGUACUUACAUUCCUGAUGAAAUAACUAACCUAAUCCAAAAGAUCAGGAUUAUGAUAUUCAGAUGAUCCAGAUGAUUUAGGCUUAGUUACGUGGUUGUCUUCCACAUUCUGUACAUGGGGAAGAUUUUUGGUGGGCAUGAUACUUCCAAUAGUGGGAGCUGUGGUUAUUUUUCUUAUCCUCAUCCAGGUUAUCAAGUGUGCUAUUGCCCGAUGUUUGUCUGCUAAAAUCAGACUGUUACGUGAUAGGGGAUAUCAAAAGAUUCAUCAACCGUGUCCUUUUUGAGAUGGGUGUCAGUGGUGUUCACAAGAACGUGGUUGGGAUCAUAAGGGUCUUCAUCACACCAAGCCUCAUGAUUGUGUGCCUGUGGUAACUGUCUUUGGGGCUGUAACCAAAUCAAAUCAAAUCAAACGUAUUUAUAUAGCCCUUCGUACAUCAGCUGAUAUCUCAAAGUGCUGUACAGAAACCCAGCCUAAACCCCCAAACAGCAAGCAAUGCAGGUGUAGAAGCACGGUGGCUAGGAAAAACUCCCUAGAAAGGACAAAACCUAUGAAGAAACAUAGAGAGGAACCAGGCUAUGUGGGGUGGCCAGUCCUCUUCUGGCUGUGCCGGGUGGAGAUUAUAACAGAACAUGGCCAAGAUGUUCAAAUGUUCAUAAAUGACCAGCAUGGUUGAAUAAUAAUAAGGCAGAACAGUUGAAACUGGAGCAGCAGCACGGUCAGGUGGACUGGGGACAGCAAGGAGUCAUCAUGUCAGGUAGUCCUGGGGCAUGGUCCUAGGGCUCAGGUCCUCUGAGAGAGAGAAAGAAAGAGAGAAUUAGAGAGAGCAUAUGUGGGGUGGACAGUCCUCUUCUGGCUGUGCCGGGUGGAGAUUAUAACAGAACAUGGCCAAG
Long non-coding RNA from Oncorhynchus tshawytscha (Chinook salmon), 2154 nucleotides. The record is from Ensembl. Lineage: Eukaryota; Metazoa; Chordata; Actinopteri; Salmoniformes; Salmonidae.